UUCCCCACAAAGACUUCAGCUUGUGUCACAUCCUCUGUUGAUAAAGUAGAACCUUUAUCUCUAAUGCUUUCAGCCAAGCGUUCUGCUCACAUAGCAUGUGGUGUCAAUCAAGGAGAUUUAUGGGGCUACGUCAUUGAAACUGGUGGAGGUUUCUAGAAGAACUAAACCACUGGAUAGAAUCACAGAAUUAUAGAAUGGCUUGGAGUUGGAGUUGGGUUGGAGUGGACCUCCAAGAUCAUCAAGUUCCAACCCCCCUGCUGUCAUCACACUUCCUUCAGCUGCCCUGUCUCAAGGCCAUCUUCCCCAAAGGCAUCCAGUCAUCAUGCAGAAACGGAGACCAAGAGCAGAGUUUGCCACAGUCAUUAAUCACUUCUGUUGCUUUGGGGUAUGACUGAGUGGUGCUGGUUACACCAGCUAGAGGCCUGGUCCUGGCAUUGAUAACAAAUCAUGGAAGACCUACAGAUGGAAACAGCAACAACAAACCUGAUUAAAAAUACCACUUCAGAUCCACCAAACUUUCUGCUAUUGAUUGACAAAUGAGGAGACUCAAAAACACAGGAAGCCAC
Molecule: long non-coding RNA, 566 nt
Organism: Phasianus colchicus (ring-necked pheasant)
Lineage: Eukaryota; Metazoa; Chordata; Aves; Galliformes; Phasianidae
Source: RefSeq, a predicted model, not a curated record